GGGGGAAAAUUAAUAAGUAUAUAUAAAUAAUAAAAAAAUUUUUAAUAUUGGGGGGUAUUAUAGUAUUUUUUUAUGAAAAAAUAAAAUAUUUUAUAGUUUAUUAGUAUUGAAAAAGAAAUUUGAAAUAAAUGAAAAUAAAUUAAUUAAAAAGUAAUUUUAAUUUAGUGUAUCUUGUGUAUCAGAGUUUAUUAAAAAAUAUUUUUUUAAUAAAAAAAUCUCGAAUUUAAAAGAGUUAAUUAAUUAUAAAAGUUAAUGUAGAAAAAUUAUUUUAAAUAAUUAAUUUGAAAUGAAAUGUUAAUCGUUUUUAAAUAUAUCUAGUUAUUUUAGAAAAAAAUUUAAUUUAAAAUUUAAAAAAUUUUAUUAUUAAUUAGAUUAAUAAUUAAAAUAUUUAAAAUUAAAUAUAUUAAGGGAUAAGCUUUAGUAUAAAAAUUUAUAAUAAACUAAAAUUUAAUAUAAAAAUUUUAAAAUUUAUAUUGUUUAAAAAUUAUAAUUUAUUAUAAAAAAUUUUAUAUUUAAUAAAAUUUAAUUUAAAAUUUAAUUUUAUAUAAAAUAAUAAUUUAUAAUAAAAAAAAGUUAAAAAUAAUGAUAAAAUUAGUAUAUUAAAAUAAAAAUAUAGUUUAAUUAAUAAAAAUUAAAUUAAAGGAAUUCGGCAAAAAUUUAUAUUCACUUGUUUAUCAAAAACAUGUCUUUUAGAUAAUAAUUUAAAGUCUAAUCUGCCCACUGAUAAUAUAUUAAAGGGCUGCAGUAUAUUGACUGUACAAAGGUAGCAUAAUCAUUAGUCUUUUAAUUGAAGACUUGUAUGAAAGAUUUGAUGAAAUAUAAACUGUCUCUAAUUUAUUUAUAAAAUUUAAUUUUUUAGUUAAAAAGCUAAAAUAAAUUUAAAAGACGAGAAGACCCUAUAGAGUUUUAUAUUAUAAUUAUUUAAGAUUAUAUGUAUAAUUAAAAAUUAAAAAUAAAAAUAAUAUUUUAUUGGGGUGAUAAAAAAAUUAAUAUAACUUUUUUUUUAAUAAAACAUAAAUAAGUGAAUAAUUGAUCCAUUUUUUAUGAUUAAAAGAAAAAAUUACCUUAGGGAUAACAGCGUAAUAUUUUUUUUUAGUACAAAUAAAAAAAAAAGUUUGCGACCUCGAUGUUGGAUUAAGAUAAAAUUUAAAUGCAAAAGUUUAAAAUUUUGAUCUGUUCGAUCAUUAAAAUCUUACAUGAUCUGAGUUCAAACCGGUGUAAGCCAGGUUGGUUUCUAUCUUUAAAUUAAUAAAAUAUUUUAGUACGAAAGGAUCAAAUAUUUUUAAUAAUUAAAAUUUAAUUGAAUAUUAAUAAUAAAUAGUUA
This 1324-nucleotide ribosomal RNA is filed under the name Athyma pravara. RNAcentral describes it as "16S ribosomal RNA". The record is from RNAcentral. Lineage: Eukaryota; Metazoa; Arthropoda; Insecta; Lepidoptera; Nymphalidae.